Molecule: ribosomal RNA, 586 nt
Filed under: Ammonia sp. genotype T2
Lineage: Eukaryota; Foraminifera; Rotaliida; Rotaliidae
Description: bacterial SSU rRNA
Rfam family: Eukaryotic small subunit ribosomal RNA (bases 1-462)
Source: RNAcentral
GGGUCCGGACACACUGAGGAUUGACAGAUAUACGCUCAUUGCUGCGUGCUUCGGCGCGUGCUUUGAGCUGAAAGAUGCUAGUUCUUUCAUGAUUAUGUGAUAGGUGGUGCAUGGCCGUUCUUAGUUUGUGGAGUGAUCUGUCUGCUUAAUUGCGUAUCAAUAAUAGAGACCUAGUAUACGCGUGGAUUUCGCGUGGUAGUGACCCCCUGUUUAACGACAGGCGUGUGUCGCACACGCGUACCUACGCACUGGUCUCAGAUAGCAACGAACGUGACCGUAUUCUAUUGUUGCAGUGAAGUGUGCCUUCUGGGUACGACCCACUGCUUAGUAUAUGUACGUGCUUCGGCGCGAACAAUAUACAUUAAACUAUAGAGACCGCUGUUUCUUCUUUAAACCAGAGGAAGGAUACGGCAAUAACAGGUCUGUGAUGCCCUCAGAUGUUCCGGGCUGCACACGUGCUACAAUGAUCAUUGCACUGUGCAUCUAACCCAAUGUGCGUGGACGCCGCAUGCAUGUGCCUUCGGGUACACGCAUUGCUGUUGCGACCACGCCGAACCUACUUCGAAAGUAAAAUUUCUCAGUGGGU